This 497-nucleotide ribosomal RNA is filed under the name uncultured bacterium. RNAcentral describes it as "partial 16S ribosomal RNA". It matches the Rfam family "Bacterial small subunit ribosomal RNA", at positions 28 to 507 of the family's 1533-position model. The record is from RNAcentral.
GAUGAACGCUGGCGGCGUGCCUAAUACAUGCAAGUCGAGCGAACAGACGAGGAGCUUGCUCCUCUGACGUUAGCGGCGGACGGGUGAGUAACACGUGGAUAACCUACCUAUAAGACUGGGAUAACUUCGGGAAACCGGAGCUAAUACCGGAUAAUAUAUUGAACCGCAUGGUUCAAUAGUGAAAGACGGUUUUGCUGUCACUUAUAGAUGGAUCCGCGACGCAUUAGCUAGUUGGUAAGGUAACGGCUUACCAAGGCAACGAUGCGUAGCCGACCUGAGAGGGUGAUCGGCCACACUGGAACUGAGACACGGUCCCGACUCCUACGGGAGGCAGCAGUAGGGAAUCUUCCGCAAUGGGCGAAAGCCUGACGGAGCAGCGCCGCGUGAGUGAUGAAGGUCUUCGGAUCGUAAAACUCUGUUAUUAGGGAAGAACAAAUGUGUAAGUAACUAUGCACGUAUUGACGGUACCUAAUCAGAGAGCCACGGCUAACUACGUG